GCGGGUGCUCUGAGGGAGUUCGCGCCGUUCCCGGCUGCUCCUGAGGGAAAAGCGACCCGGAUCCGCAAGGAUCGGCAGCAAAUCGCAUCGGACCUCGGUGUCCCGCUUCGGAAACCACCCCUGCAGCUGCCUCCGAGCUGUUAGAAUUGUCCUCCAGCUUCUGGGUUUAGGUAAUCUCUAGGUUAUCCAUGUUUCCUGUCCUGCCUCAGAAUCCCUGCAAAGACAGUAUCUUCUGAACAGCAAGAUCUCGCCAUGUCUGAGGAAAACACAAGCGGGAAUAUCCCGCCAAAGUUCAGGAAAUAGAACAGUGCAGCAGAAGCCUUAUCACAACAGAAAUGACCCCUGAAGUGCAGCUACAGAAAACAACCACUUACAGGAGGAAAAUCUGUCACCCAGCAGCACCAGUGACCACGCUGUCAGAACCUGAACUUCCACAUCAGAAGCACAGUCAGUAAAAAGGCAGCUAAAG
Long non-coding RNA from Pezoporus occidentalis (night parrot), 469 nucleotides. RefSeq lists it as uncharacterized. The transcript has 2 exons. Lineage: Eukaryota; Metazoa; Chordata; Aves; Psittaciformes; Psittacidae. The record is from RefSeq and is a predicted model, not a curated record.